RNAcentral lists this ribosomal RNA (274 nucleotides) under uncultured bacterium. Its description in RNAcentral is "partial 16S ribosomal RNA". It matches the Rfam family "Bacterial small subunit ribosomal RNA", at positions 523 to 796 of the family's 1533-position model. The record is from RNAcentral.
AUACGGAGGGUGCAAGCGUUACUCGGAAUCACUGGGCGUAAAGGACGCGUAGGCGGGAUGCCAAGUCUGAUGUGAAAUCCUAUGGCUCAACCAUAGAACUGCAUUGGAAACUGGUAACCUAGAGUAUGGGAGGGGGAGAUGGAAUUAGUGGUGUAGGGGUAAAAUCCGUAGAUAUCACUAGGAAUACCGAAAGCGAAGGCGAUCUCCUGGAACAUUUCUGACGCUAAGGCGUGAAAGCGUGGGGAGCAAACAGGAUUAGAAACCCUAGUAGUCC